This 433-nucleotide ribosomal RNA is filed under the name uncultured bacterium. RNAcentral describes it as "partial 16S ribosomal RNA". It matches the Rfam family "Bacterial small subunit ribosomal RNA", at positions 29 to 507 of the family's 1533-position model. The record is from RNAcentral.
AACGAACGCUGGCGGCAUGCCUAACACAUGCAAGUCGAACGAGACCUUCGGGUCUAGUGGCGCACGGGUGCGUAACGCGUGGGAAUCUGCCCUUGGGUUCGGAAUAACAGUUGGAAACGACUGCUCAUACCGGAUGAUGACGUAAGUCCAAAGAUUUAUCGCCCAAGGAUGAGCCCGCGUAGGAUUAGCUAGUUGGUGAGGUAAAGGCUCACCAAGGCGACGAUCCUUAGCUGGUCUGAGAGGAUGAUCAGCCACACUGGGACUGAGACACGGCCCAGACUCCUACGGGAGGCAGCAGUGGGGAAUAUUGGACAAUGGGCGAAAGCCUGAUCCAGCAAUGCCGCGUGAGUGAUGAAGGCCUUAGGGUUGUAAAGCUCUUUUACCCGGGAUGAUAAUGACAGUACCGGGAGAAUAAGCUCCGGCUAACUCCGUG